This 237-nucleotide long non-coding RNA is filed under the name Elaeis guineensis (African oil palm). Its description in RNAcentral is "long non-coding RNA (EGUI_LNC027421)". The record is from RNAcentral. Lineage: Eukaryota; Viridiplantae; Streptophyta; Magnoliopsida; Arecales; Arecaceae.
GAAAUCCGACCGGAAGCCCCGGAUUCAGAAGGCAAUGAUCGAUCCCAGCGGGGAUUCAUCCGGAAACACCGAUAUGAGGCUCCGGAGCUCGAAAUCUUCGAAUCCGGAGAAGAAAUCCCGACCGGAAGCCCCGGAUUCAGAAGGCAACGAUCGAUCCCGGCGGGGAUUUUGAGGAUUUUGUUUUCGAGAGGCACCCGACGAUCAGAAGACAAUCCGGAACUGAGGGGCGUCAGACCC